RNAcentral lists this long non-coding RNA (9124 nucleotides) under Homo sapiens (human). RNAcentral describes it as "non-protein coding C21orf62-AS1:10". Lineage: Eukaryota; Metazoa; Chordata; Mammalia; Primates; Hominidae. The record is from RNAcentral.
AGUGCCGGGAUUGAAGGUGUGAGCCACCGCACCUGGCCCAUAUUCCUUUUUAAAGACAGCAUCAGAGUUCAUCAUAUAGAUAUUCUUUAAUUAUAUAAUUAAUCCCUUUUGUGGGCCAUUUGUGGGGGUGCUCAUUUUUUUCUUAUUAGAAAGAAAGCUGAAAUCAAUGUCUUGUACAAAUACCUUUUGUGUACUUCUCUGGUUAGCGCUUUAAGAUAAAGACUUAAAAGAGGCAUUGUUAGCUCAAAGGAUAUAUAUAUUUUCACAUAUGUAGUUAAGCUGACCUCUGGAAAUUUAUCAUAUUAUGCAAAUCCUGUCAGCUGCUUUUCAGGGGCAGGAAUGCAGUGGGGCAGGGAGGCCAUAUUUACUUGUGACACAGGAUUUUUCUUGGCCACUUUGCCAACUGGGGACUUCCAUGGCCAGUGACCCCCUCCCUGCCCAGACGUCGCUUAGCCCGGCCUGCCUCUGGAGGCGCCCUGCCCACUUGGCCCACCAGUGUUAUAGCUUGUACCCAAGUUUGGUGAUUCCUAAGCUCUUGUGUCAUGUCCAAGCAGAAAGAGGAUAUGCUGCUGACAAUUGAAGGGUUGGUUGAUAUACAUUUUAGAGCUGGACUGCUCAAUGUGGUACCCAGGCUAGCAGCCACAAUAGCAGCACCUGAGAGAUGGUUUGUGAGCAUAUGUGUGAUGGGAGGACAAGAAUUGAGAAGAUGGGAUCAGGAAGAGGAGGGAGGACAUAUGAUUAUCUAUCUAUCUAUCUACACACAUGCAUAUAUACAUAUAUAUACACACACAUACAUAUGCACUAUGUGUAUGUAACUCCCUGUGAAAAUAUUUUCUAUUCAACAAAUUAAAAAAAAAAAACUUUAGUCAGAAGUGAAAUUACAUAGAAUUUGGGAUGCCUUGCCAUAAAUGGCCUCUCCAUAGUACCUCAUCCUGGCAUCACCUAAAUGGGAGGGUUCUACCCCAAUAGCUGAAAGCCCUGCCUGAGCCUUGGGGGCUCUGUGCUGUGGCCAGUGCUGGACUAUGCAGCUCUGGAUGCCCCCGACCUGCCGUUCCUCUGACCACUCAUGAGAAGCCCACAGGGGCAGCUCUGCCCCCUCACCUUCUACUUCCAUUGUUCCCACUUUUAGAGACCAGAAUUUUCCCCAAACAAGUCAACAUCUUGCUGUGUUUGCAGAAAACAUCCUAGCAUUGGAGGGACUACCAGAUGGAAAAAUAGCUCCCCUUUUCCAUUUAGAAGUGGCUUGUUUGAUUUCAAAAUAUAAACCCUGUCCUAAUAAUAAAAAUUACUUUUUUUCUCAGAGAUGUGCCAAAGUCCCUCACCAUCUAUCCACAGGAGAAUGUUCCAUUUUUUUGGAUGCCUCAUAGUCACCUGGUGUGGGGGACAGACCCUGUGGUGGCCCCACGGUCCGCACCUCCUGGUAUUCACACCCUUGUGUGCUGCCCUCCCCUUGAGUGUGGGCAGACCCUGUGACUUGCUUCAUAGUAGAAUGUGACAAAGAUGAUGGGCUGUCACUCCUGGGCUUACGUUACAUCGUGCGAAACCCGACUUACAAACAGAUUUGCUUUUGUGCUCUUGCUGGCCUUGAAGAAGCAGGCUGCCAUGUCGCGAAUUGUCCAUGCAGAGGCCACAUGGCACAUGAAGUGAGAACCAUAAAAGAAAAGUUGACAAAUGGUAAUGAUGCCUAGGAAAGAAAGAUAAAGAAAAAGGGGUGCAGGAAAAACAAGAGGCCCAGCACCACAGAGUUAAAAGCAGUGUUUUGCUGGCUAAUGCCAAACAUGGACAACCAAGCCACAGAUUUUUCCAUAGCCCGAGAAGUUUUGUUUUUCUCAAUGAAAAAUCAGAAGACUUUGCAUUAAAGCAUAUCAGUGAUAUAGAUAGCCUCAAAUAAUCAAAAAGAAUUUACAAAGCUGUACAACUCUGGUGUCAGUUAGCUUGGUGGAAUGACACUGUUGCUCUCUUUUCUGUCUAAUGGGCAUUUCCUUCUAAGAUAUUAGUUCUGCCUCCCACGUAUUGCUGCUACUGGAUGCUUGACGGCUGUGAGUCUCAGGCAUGGGGGACUGACGGUUUUGGUGUGUGUCUGGGUGAGCACAAAUUACCUGAAUGCUGAUGUGGUAGGCGUCUCCUGGAAAGAACACUGUCUUUAAUUGACUUAAUGUUAUUUUCACCUGGAUAAAAAUUUCAAAUUUUUAUACUAUUUGUAUUUUCUUUCCUUCUUUCUUCUUUCUUUUUUCUUUCUCUUUCCUUUCUUCUUUUCUUUCUUUCUUUCUUUCUUUCUUUCUUUCUUUCUUUCUUUCUUUCUUUCUCUCUUUCUUUCUUUCUUGCUCCCUGUCUCUCUCUCUCUCCCUUCCUUCCUUCCUAACUUCCUUUCUUCCCUCCUUCCUUCUUUCUUCCUUUUUCUUUCUUCUUUCUUUCCUUUCUUUUCCUCUUUCUUUCUUUUCUUUUUUCUUUCUCCUUUCUUUCUUUCUUUUUUCUUUCUUUCUUUCUUACUUUCUCUUCCUUCCUUCUCUCUUCCUUCCUUUUCUUCCUUCUUUAUUUCUCUCUGUCUCUCUCUUUCUGUCUCUCUCUGUCUCUCUCCCUCUCUUUCUGUCUCCCCCUUUUUUUCUUCCUUUUCUCUUUUCUUCCUUUCAUGGGUCUCGUUCUGUCACCCAGGCUGGAGUGCAGUGGUGCAAUCCUCGCUCACUGCAGCCUCAAACUCCUGGGGCUCAAAUGAUCCUCUCACCUCAGCCUCCUGAGUAACUGGAACUACAGGUUUACGCUAUCACACCUGACUAAUUUUUAAAUUUUUUGUAGAGAUGGGAUCUCACUAUGUUGCCUAGGCUAGUCUUGAACUCUUGGCCUCAAGCAAUCCUCCUGCCUCAGCCUCUCAAAGUGCUGGGAUUACAGUCACCCUGCCUGGCCCAUUUUUUUUUCUUUAGGGAGCUAGGGGUGAGUGUUUUGCAUUUUCGUUUCCUCUCUUGUACUGUCAGCCUGGCUUCUGUUAGCACUCCUGUGUCUGGAGGACCAGGAAAUCCCAGCCUAGAAGACUACCUAGAAGCUCCUUCCUGGCCAGAGAGGAGGACUGAGAACACCAUAGCAAAGGGCUGCUGUUCUGAGCAUGAGCAGAACCCCCCUUAGACCUAACUUCCUGCUUUUCCUCUAUGACAGCCUCGAGGUCUUUAGGAAAACGGUGACUCUGGAGCACAGCCCUGGAUCCCUGAUGGCAGGUGGAUGAAUCUGCUCCCCACCUGGAUGCUGCUAGUCCUUUCUCCAGGCUCCGUGACUGAAAAUGUGCUUUACUUGGCAAAAGCUGUUUCUCCUCAGAACUCUAGAAAUCAGAUCUUGGCCCACCUCUUUCAGGUAAGGACCUUCUUAAAAUUGAUGCUUGACCCAACUAAAUUUGAAUUACACCCUAUCCCUCUUGGCCUUGUAAAAUCGUAUGUAUAUAUUUUGAGACGAAGUCUUGCUCUGUUGCCUAGGCUGGCAUACAGUGGUGUGAGCUCAGCUCACUGCAACCUCUAACUCUGAGGUUCAAGUGAUUCUCCUGCCUCAGCCUCCCAAGUAGCUGGGACUUACAGGCACACACCAUCACGCCCAGAUAAUUUUUCUAUUUUUAGUAGAGAUGGGGUUUCACCGUGUCGCCCAGACUGGUCUCGAACUCCUGAGCUCAAGUGAUCCGCCCGCUUCAGCCUCCCAAAGUGCUGGGAUUACAAAUGUUAGCCACCACCCCUGGCCCAUAUAGAAUUACUGUAGAGUUCAAAUUCUGGUUCUUGCAUGUCCUGGCUGUAUGACCUUGUGCAAGUUACUUAACAUCUAUGUGCCUCAUUUUCCUCAUCUGCAAAAUUACCUCUCCUUGGUGUCAGCAUGAGGAUUAAAUAAGAAAAUGAAGUCUAAAGUUAGUAUCAUUGGAAAAAGAUAAAUCAGGUUCCCAUACUCAUGGCUUACUAAGUAUUAAUUGGGGGGAGGAGGUUAAUUCAUUGUGUGGUCAGGAAUUCCUUUCAUGGAUCAGUAAUCAACACAUAAGUCCACCUUCAUCUGGUUGGAAACUGUUGGUGAUGGUGGGGAGGGGUCAUUUGUAGGAGGAGAUAUUUAGUCAUGUGACUCAUCACUGUUCUACCACAUAUCCACAGGAGGCAGCCUUUAGGCUAGAACUAUGAAAGCAGUUAGGAUGGAAAAUUGGAAAGUGGUUCCAGGGGACAGCCUAGGAUAGAUACAGAUUUUCAAAAAUUGAGAUUUAAAUGUCAGCAACAUUGCUCAUUAAUUAACUUGUUUGACAAACAUUGAGUGCCAUAUCCUACCUUCUGGUCCCAUCAAAAGGAGUAAAACUCAGCCCUCAUCCUCAAGGAGCACUUAGAUCAAGCCAACUUGUUGGUUUUUAAAUUGUAUUUGAUAAUGCAUUGGACUUUGCUAAAUUCUAGAGAAUACUUACAAAAUCAAAUGCAUGUCUAAUCAUGUAAAAUGAGGGACACGUAAGAAUAACCGGGUGUAUUAGUUCAUUCUCAUGCUGCUAUAAAGAACUGCCUGAGAUUAGGUAAUUUAUAAAAGAAAGAGGUUUAAUUAACUCACAGUUCUGAAUGGCUGGGGAGGCCUCAGGAACCUUACAAUCAUGGUGGAAGGGGAAGCAAACACAUCCUUCUUCACAUGCUAGCAGGAAGGAUAAGUGCUGAGCAAAAGGGGGAAAAGCCUCUUAUAAAACCAUCAGAUCUUGUGAGAACUCAUUUACUAUCACAAAAAUAGCAGCAUGAGGGUAACCGCCACCAUGAUUCAAUUACCUCCCACUGGGUCCCUCCCAUGAAAUGGGGGGAUUAUGGGAACUACAAUUCAAGAUGAGAUUCGGGUGGGGACGCAGCCAAACCAUAUCACUGGAAGUGAAUAGAAUUUGUUGAGACAAAUUGAAGAGUAAUUUGUUUUAUUGAAGUGAGUGCAACUCAUUGGUAUUUUACUGUGUUCUGGGAUCCAGGAGCCCAGUUUUUAGAACCUCCUCCAACCAAGACCACUUCAUUAUUCCAGCAGACUCACUGACCCUUUCUUAUGUACAGUUUUCACUACUUUCCCAGAUCCCUUGUGUUUAGAUCUGGCAAAAAAACUAGUUCUAGCCAAAGAAAUAUGCACCCUGACCAAACUUAGACAAUUGAGUAUCUGCUUUCCACAGGCUCUUUCUAUUUCACAGCAACCUUGCAGGCCAUGUGUUAAAAAUGGUGCUAUACAAGAUGAAAGGAGUCUGGGAUCCUGAGUUACUGCUUGGGAGGGAAAUUUUCAAUCUAAAAUGGAUUGUGGUACAAGCAGAAAUAAACCUGUCAUGUGUUAAACCACAGAGGUUUGGGGGAUGUUUGUUACUGCAGCUUGUGUAGUUUACCCUGACUAAUAUACUCUGUUACCAUCCUUGCCAGGGCAUAUCUGGUCUUUCUAUCUAAUGCUACCUCUGGGUUUUAGUGGGAAAGAGGCCUCAAGGAAAGGGAUUCUGUAUAUCAAUGUUGACAUUUCUUCUUCCUAUAUAUAGCUGAACAUUGGAGAGAUUAUGUUUGUUUAGAAAAGUUUUCACAAAUCCUUUGUCAUGAAGAUUUCAGAGAAAGGUGACCAUGAAUUGUGUUAAGGUGACUUUUUAUACACCAAUUAAAUAACCUGAUUCAAUGAUUGCAGGGCAUGAAGAGAAACGACAACAGUCUUGGGUGUUCUGAUCUGAGUAGCUUGUCAGUGCCUAAUAGCUCCUUUGCUGCAUGUAGAUACAAAUGACCAAUCUUACACUUUUUUUUUUUUUUUUUUUUUUUUACCCUCUCAAGCUAGAUUUUCUUUCCUCAAGAAAAUGUGAAAAUGUCACUGGUCACAACCUCUAAGCCCUAUAAGUUUAUGUCUUUAUUUUAUGUUCUGGAGAGAAAAAAAAAUUCACAAUCAGAGAGAAAAGUAAUUUUUCCGUUACUAAUAAGCUACGUAUGUGCAAAAGGUUAGUUUUGGAAUUUCUUUCAAAGAUCCUGUGAUUCAAAGUAAAAUAUUUGGUAAACUAUAAUGAGGUAAUUGUGAGAAAUGAGACAUUAAAGUGUGUUUGGAGCCUUUUAUAUAUUUCAACUUUAAAAACAAUUUGGUGUCUCCAUCAUUAAAACUAAACUUUCACCUGCUACAGAUCUCCUUCUUUGCUCCAAAGACUAUUGUUUGUUUGAACAGGGUGGAAAGGAGGUUGUCAGAGGCCUUUUACACAGUGCAAAUGAGAGCAGAAAUCAGCGGGGCCACAAGUGUUAAUGAGAGAAUGGCUGCUGAUCAGAGCGUGGACUUGGCCACAGAAAGUUUAUCUUGAAUUUUAGAAGUUUUUCAGUUGGUUAUUGGUGGUUGCAAUAAAAUAAAUUACUUCUAAAAUAUAAAUAUUGAGUGAGUCAUAAUGUCUUAAAUGAUUAUGACCACAGUUUGCAGACCUUGUGUUGUAACUUAAACUUGACAUUUAAGCAUUCAGCCUGCAUUUAGAAUUUCUAAAUCUUAAUAUGUAUUACUGCACACACAUUUUGAAAAAUAUAUAGAUGAAUAUAUAGCAUUUAUACCAAUACAUAUAAACACAUAUUUCUUUUAAAAGAUAGGCAAAUACCAUCAUUUCUUCACUGGUCAACUCAUGGAAGUCAUGCUUACUAAUCAACUUUUCAUGGAUCUAACAUUUUAUGCAUUCAUCUAUAACACAGCUUUUCCAUUGGAUAAUAACUCAUUUUAUCUUCAGGACAAGUUUGCAUAUCAGGGAUCAGUAUCCUCAUUUUCUUUGCUUUUGAGAUGGAGUCUUGCUCUGUCGCCAGGCUGGAGUGCAGUGGCACUAUCUCGGCUCACUGCAACCUCCGACUCCCUGGAUCAAGUGAUUCUCCUGCCUCAGCCUCCCAAGUAGCUUGGAUUACAGGGACAUGCCACCACGCCCAGCUAAUUUUUUUGUAUUUUUAGUAGAGAUGGGGUUUCACCAUGUUGGUCAGGAUGGUCUCGAUCUCCUGACCUUGUGAUCCACCCGCCUCAGCCUCCCAAAGUGCUGGGAUUACAGGCAUGAGCCACCGCACCCAGCCAUCCUCGUUUUCUAGAUGAGGAAACUGAGGCUCAGCAAAUGACAUUGUUACUGAGACAAAUGUUUGAGCCAGGGAGGUGCUUGGAAAGACUAUGGGGCUCUGAAGAGGGCAAUUAAAUUAAAAUAAAGGGUGAGUUAUUGUGAAUAUAUGAACUACUCUAAAAAGAUGAGAAAUGUCACUCUCCCACUCAAAGUAGGGGAACUGGAUGAGUGCAGGACCCUGAAAUGUGGAAAGGCAUUUAAUGUAGGGAAUGAUGCUUAUAAGAGGGUUUGAAGAGCUAGAGCAGAAGGCAGAGGGCAUCCCCUGUAACUAUUAGCCAAUAACUCCCCACUCUUCCUCUUCCAAGCCACUGGUAGCUUCUAACCUACUUUCUCUCUCUAGAAACUUGCCUAUUCUAAAAAUUUCAUACAAGUGGAAUAAUACAAUCAUACAACAUUUGUCAUUUUGUGCCUGGAUUAUUUCACUUUAUAUAAUAUUUCCAACAUGUUACAUGUUGUAGCAUGCACAGAACUUUCUUUCUUUCCAUGUCUGAAUAAUAUUCCGUUGUAUGGAUAUGCCACAUUUUCUUUAUCAAUUCAUCUGUUGAUAGAUGCUUGGGUUGUUUCCAUCAGAUUGUCUUUUGAUAUGACACAUACUAUCCUCAGAUCUACCUCCCUCCCUUCCUCUUCCCCAAAGCUGCUCAACCAGAGGCUUGGGUAACAAUUGGCCACACCCAACUUAUCUAAGUCUGUUCUGUCCUCCAUUCAGAUGGGAGCCCACCCUUCAAGACGACUAUAUAGAAAAUAAAACUAUUGUCCUGAGAGACCAUCUUUCUUGCUAUUUGGCACCCACUAUAAAUCCUCAUGGGCUAUAUCCUUUUGAGAGACACCAUCAUUUUAAAUUUGAAGAUGUGCUAUUUAUUGUUGUUUUUCAGCUCCAGACUCACCCUUCUAAAUUCUGCUCUAUGCUAUUGGAUUGGAGCAGAGGUUUUACAAACCACAUGUUCACUUUCCCUGCAGGCUCCAUGUUAGGCUCUGCCAAGAGGGUGUACUGAAGAGAAGCUAAAAGAUUGGAGCAGAAAAAAGGAACCUGCUCCUUCUUGUUUGCUUCCUGUCCCUCUCUGCAUCACCCAAGCAUGCUUCUUCACCCCAGCAGCAGCAGUUCUUUCACACAGUAGGAGCUGCAUGCAGUGAGCGGUGUUUCCAACAGUUAUAGAUCCUACCUCAUUGUACCACUCCCCCACCUUGAGGACCAGCACUAGCUGGCAGGAGCAUCUUCCUCACAGAACUGAAUUUAAGCCCUACAAGGUCCCUCUUGUUAGCCCAGAAACAUCAUCAGCAGUUGGGCAGGGCCCUGUCCUCUGAGAUCUGAGUUUCUGUUCCUCAGAGUCAUUACAUUAUAUGUUUUAAAAAUAGCUCUUCCCUUUGUUUCUGCCAGCCCUAAGGUGGUGCUGCUUCUUGUAGUUGCUACUUCCAUCUGUGACUUUCCAGUUAACUUUUAAACAAUUUUAUAACUAGUUAACAGCUAUUUGUGUUAAAUUCUCACUUUAAGUCCUCGGUUAUAAGGUGUCUUCUCCCCGUCCUCUCCCAGACCAUACACAAUACAUGGACAUCGCACACAUACUGCAUGUGCAUAUGGAGUAGGAACAUUCCCAAUCAAGAUAGUGAAUAUACUGUGGAGGGCUUUAGAGUGAGGCCAGACCCCAUGGAUCCAGGGACCUUCCCUGAAAAGGACUGAAGCCCACUGUGGUCAUUGAAGAACAGUGGAAAGCUCUGGUGGGAACUGCGCAAGUAGAAGUUCCUCCAGAUCAGGAACCUUUUCUGUCUCUUGACAAGGUAAUAUUGAGGAGUCUAAGAGAGGGUGGUCAAGGUCAGGCAGUCCCAGGUGAUGGAAGAAAGGUGGCUUCUGAGGAAUGGUAUCAGACCUUCAUGUCUCCUUUCUUCUGUGGUGCCCAUAAACAAAGAUUGGCUUAAACAUACCAACUUAGUUCUACUAGGGCAGAUUAGGUGAUGGGUCCUGUACCCAUCUAACAUUAGAUACCAGAAUCAAAUGUUAGAAGGGAGCAGUGACUCCCUCCCCCAGGGGUGAGUGGCAGCUAUAAUUCAUAAGAACUUUCCACUGGGGAAGGUGAAUCGGUCCAA